CUGCAAGCUCUCAAAAAGAUAUCUCAGGAGCACCCAACUGCCUGUUUGCGAGCUGGUGCUCUUAUGGCUGUCCUCUCGUAUCUGGAUUUCUUCUCCACUGGUGUUCAGCGUGUAGCACUAUCUACUGCUGCUAAUAUGUGCA
Camelina sativa (false flax) is the source of this 142-nucleotide non-coding RNA. The record is from RefSeq and is a predicted model, not a curated record. NCBI's taxonomy places the organism in Eukaryota, Viridiplantae, Streptophyta, Magnoliopsida, Brassicales, Brassicaceae.